Molecule: small nucleolar RNA, 107 nt
Organism: Gossypium raimondii (Peruvian cotton)
Lineage: Eukaryota; Viridiplantae; Streptophyta; Magnoliopsida; Malvales; Malvaceae
Rfam family: Plant small nucleolar RNA R71
About the family: R71 is a member of the C/D box family of snoRNAs containing the C (UGAUGA) and D (CUGA) box motifs. Multiple nearly identical copies of this snoRNA have been identified in Arabidopsis, and it is thought to function as a 2'-O-ribose methylation guide for 18S ribosomal RNA.
Source: Rfam
AUGCCGUGAAGAGGGCACUUUUGUAAUAACUCCUUGAACCGUUCCCAUGCCUCAUAUAAGGAUUAUUUAUUAAGUUGCUGAAAUAAAGUGAUUUCAUUUCGGAUCUU